CGAUGAUGCAUAGCCCGAGUUGAGAGACUGAUCGGGCCACAUUGGGGACUGAGACACGGGACCCAAAACUACCUACGGGGAGGCAGCAGUAGGGAAUCUUCCACAAUGGACGAAAGUCUGAUGGAGCAACGCCGCGUGAGUGAAGAAGGUUUUCGGAUCGUAAAAGCUCUGUUGUUGGUGAAGAAGGAUAGAGGUAGUAACUGGCCUUUAUUUGACGGUAAUCAACCAGAAGUCACGGCUAACUACGUGCCAGCAGCCGCGGUAAU
RNAcentral lists this ribosomal RNA (266 nucleotides) under uncultured Lactobacillus sp. Its description in RNAcentral is "partial 16S ribosomal RNA". It matches the Rfam family "Bacterial small subunit ribosomal RNA", at positions 274 to 524 of the family's 1533-position model. Lineage: Bacteria; Bacillati; Bacillota; Bacilli; Lactobacillales; Lactobacillaceae. The record is from RNAcentral.